RNAcentral lists this transfer RNA (75 nucleotides) under Treponema sp. RNAcentral describes it as "tRNA-Phe". It matches the Rfam family "tRNA". From Rfam's summary of the family: Transfer RNA (tRNA) molecules are approximately 80 nucleotides in length. Lineage: Bacteria; Pseudomonadati; Spirochaetota; Spirochaetia; Treponematales; Treponemataceae. The record is from RNAcentral.
UGCCCCCUGAGCUCAGUUGGUAGAGCAGCAGACUGAAAAUCUGCGUGUCUGGAGUUCAAUUCUCCGAGGUGGCAA